AUAUAUAUAUAUAUAUAAUACAAAAAGCCAGUCAAGAUAACCAUCUUGCAUCAACAUUAACUUCAUUGAUUUCUUCAAUCAAGAAUUAUUUCACUCUUUAAGUUAACUUCACUAGUUUCUUUUCAUUAGGAAGUUUCAAACACAAUUACACCCAUCACUUUACCACUUCAGCUAGAGCCCACUGGACAAAAAAAAUUCAGCCAAUUUGAUGCUCUUUUCAUUCAAUUAAUAAAGCUAAUUUGUGUUUUCAGUCAAUGUGCAGAAGCAUAUGCAGGUAAAUGAUAACAAUAAAUACCAUAGCUAAUAAAGUUAAAAGGUGCUAGAAAGUAAAAUAACUGCCAAAGGUAAUGAACCUGAUGCAAGCAUGGCAAAGUGCGGAUCAGUUCUCCAACAUUAACUUGCUCCAAGCACACACUGCAAGUCAGAUCAUCAUCUGAAGCCUUCAUGCUUCCCACUGCAUUGGCAGUAUCUUGCUUCUUUUG
RNAcentral lists this unclassified non-coding RNA (482 nucleotides) under Hevea brasiliensis (rubber tree). Lineage: Eukaryota; Viridiplantae; Streptophyta; Magnoliopsida; Malpighiales; Euphorbiaceae. The record is from RNAcentral.